RNAcentral lists this ribosomal RNA (1535 nucleotides) under uncultured bacterium. RNAcentral describes it as "bacterial SSU rRNA". It matches the Rfam family "Bacterial small subunit ribosomal RNA". The record is from RNAcentral.
UGAGUUUGAUCCUGGCUCAGAAUGAACGUUGGCGGCGUGGAUUAGGCAUGCAAGUCGUGCGAUAUUCCCUCGCAAGGGGGAUGAAAGCGGCGAAAGGGAGAGUAACGCGUGGAUACCUACCCUGGGGACCGGGAUAGCCGUGGGAAACUGCGGGUAAUACCGGAUAACGUCUUCGGACCAAAGGUGUGAUUCCGCCCUGGGAUGGGUCCGCGUCCUAUUAGCUAGUUGGCAGGGUAAUGGCCUACCAAGGCGAUGAUGGGUACGGGGUGUGAGAGCAUGACCCCGCUCACUGGGACUGAGACACUGCCCAGACACCUACGGGUGGCUGCAGUCGAGGAUCUUCGGCAAUGGGCGCAAGCCUGACCGAGCGACGCCGUGUGCGGGAUGAAGGCCUUCGGGUUGUAAACCGCUGUCAGAGGGGAGGAAGUACCGGGAAGUAAUACAUAAUCGACCCGGUUUGACCUAUCCUCAGAGGAAGUACGGGCUAAGUUCGUGCCAGCAGCCGCGGUAAGACGGACCGUACAAACGUUAUUCGGAAUCACUGGGCUUAAAGGGUGCGUAGGCGGCCCGGCAAGUUGGGUGUGAAAUCCCUCGGCUCAACCGAGGAAUUGCGCUCAAAACUGCCGGGCUUGAGGGAGAUAGAGGUGAGCGGAACUUAAGGUGGAGCGGUGAAAUGCGUUGAUAUCCUAAGGAACACCGGUAGCGAAAGCGGCUCACUGGGUCUCUGUCUGACGCUGAGUGCACGAAAGCUAGGGGAGCGAAGAGGAUUAGAUACCCUCGUAGUCCUAGCUGUAAACGAUGAGCACUUGGUUGGAGGGUCCUCCAUAGCCCUCCAGCCGGAGCGAAAGUGUUAAGUGCUCCGCCUGGGGAGUAUGUUCGCAAGGCUGAAACUCAAAAGAAUUGACGGGGGCUCACACAAGCGGUGGAGGAUGUGGCUUAAUUCGAGGCUACGCGAAGAACCUUAUCCUAGUCUUGACAUGCACGGAUUAACCCCGUGAAAGCGGGGCCACACCCGCAAGGGUGGAACGUGCACAGGUGCUGCAUGGCUGUCGUCAGCUCGUGUCGUGAGAUGUCGGGUUAAGUCCCUUAACGAGCGAAACCCUUGUCGCUAGUUGCCAGCGAGUAAUGUCGGGGACUCUAGCGAGACUGCCGGUGUUAAACCGGAGGAAGGCGGGGAUGACGUCAAGUCCUCAUGGCCUUUAUGACUAGGGCUGCACACGUCCUACAAUGGCGCGCACAAAGCGACGCGAACUCGCGAGAGCAAGCAAAUCGCAAAAAACGCGCCCCAGUUCGGAUUGCAGGCUGCAACCCGCCUGCAUGAAGCCGGAAUCGCUAGUAAUCGCGGGUCAGCAUACCGCGGUGAAUGUGUUCCUGAGCCUUGUACACACCGCCCGUCAAGCCACGAAAGUGGGGGGCAUCCGAAGUCGCCGAGGUAACCCGAAAGGGAGCUAAGCGCCGAAGAUGAACUCCGCGAUUGGGACUAAGUCGUAACAAGGUAGCCGUAGGGGAACCUGCGGCUGGAUCACCUCCUUUCU